Molecule: long non-coding RNA, 3638 nt
Organism: Manis pentadactyla (Chinese pangolin)
Lineage: Eukaryota; Metazoa; Chordata; Mammalia; Pholidota; Manidae
Exons: 3
Source: RefSeq, a predicted model, not a curated record
UUCUGUUAGUGUUUGUUUCACAUAUGUAGGUGCUCCUGUGUUGGGUGCAUAGAUAUUUUAAAUGGUUGUAUCCUCUUGUUGGACUGACCCCUUUAUCAUUAUGGAAUGUCCUUCUUUCUCUCUUGUUGCUUUCUUUGUUUUGAAGUCUAUUUUGUGUGAUACAGGUACUGCAUCUCCUGAUUUUUUUCUCCCUAUUGUUUGCAUGAAACAUGUUUUUCCAUCCCUUCACUUUUGGUCUUUGUAUGUCUUUGGGUUUGAAGUAGUCUCUUGUAGGCAGCAUAUAGAUGGGUAUUGCUUUUUUAUCCACUGUGUAACUCUGUGUCUUUUGGUUGGUGCAUUCAGUCCGUUUACAUUUAGGGUGAUUAUUGAUAUGUGCCUACUACCAUUACAGGCUUUGGAUUUGUGGUCACCAAAGGGUCAAGGGCAGCAGUACCUGCAGGGCCUGCUGCACGUCCCUAGGGGGCGAGGCGGUGCAGGAAGCCGCCCUGGCCGGCUGGUCCGUCCGAAAUUCCUAGUGGGCGGGUCAGCGAGUUAGGAAACAGGCGAGGGGGUGGGGGCGGGGCGCGGGGCCGCGAGCCUCCUCCCCUCGGCCAAUCAGCAGCUUCGGCAGCCCCUGGGAGGGCGCACUUUCUUCCCUGCACCCGGCGAGGAGGAGGACGGCAGCGGCGUCUCCUCAACUGCAGGCGGACUCCUCAGGAGCCGCGGCGCGGCCCUGGCACUGGCUGCGGGGCCGCCGAAGGCGUUCUGACGGAAAUUUCCCUGCUUACAACUUCGCCGCCGCCGCCGCGCUCCUGGAGGCCCGCCGCUGCCAGAUAACGGCCGCUCUGCUGCACCGUGGCGCCCGAGAGCCCGGCCAAAGUUGAGCGCAGGCCGGCGGCGCGGGUGGUGGCCGCUCCGGACGCUCCAGCUGCACUUGCUCCAGGCGCUGGUUCAAGUUUCAUACCCUUGUGGUGUGAGAAGCUGCAUCAUUUUGGGGGGCUCGUCUGGGAUAACUUCGGAGGUGAGUAUCAGCAUCCAAGCCUGCCUUUUCUUUCACUGUCCUUAUAGAAGGAAGCCGUCUGUGGCACACAUCAUUGGGCGCUCGUCAGCCACUUAAAUGGGACUAACCCGGCUGCCGAUCUCAAAGUCUCGAGUGACAGGUUCCCCUGCGUCUCCCUCAGUGGAUCACCCGUCUUCCUUGGGAACCAGGAAAGUCACCUGAGUGGAGGCCAGGACAGGAUUCCCCUUCAGAGGCAUCUCCUUGGACGCCAGGGACUGAGGAAGGCCGUGGGCACCUGCGAGAGUCUAGGCUGAGGAUGCGCUUCAGCGGCUUCUCAAAGGCCCGCGUGUCUGGAAUCAGACCCCGACAUCCCGACUGGGUAUCCGUGAGGAGUGUCCCUCUUUCUGUCUCUCUCUGACUUCCAGCCUGCUUCUCCAGGCCGCCCUGGCCUCUGAGUGAGGCAGGGGGCGUUCCUAACUCUCUUCUAACUUUAUCAGCAUCACGGACCCCGAUGCUCAGCACCGCAAGCCACCUAAAAGACAAUUAUCGUCGCCUGCCAGUCUUAAGUCUUGUUGAAAGUUUCCCAGUGUGUGCCGUCCAUAAUUCCCACUUCUGGAUAAAUGGGAAUGCAGGGAGUGGCUGUGCGGAGCUCCUGCUUUCCUCUCAUAAGCUGCAGACUGGGAGGGCAGACCGGACUAGUAGACAGUGGUCCUUGGAUCUCCGCUCCGGCCGAUGGAUGUGAUGGCGCUGAGUGAACCUCCUGCUAGGCUGCUGCCUAUGGAAGAGUCACAGAUGACCCCUGACCUCUUGUGUCACCAGAUUUCUUACAGUGGGUGACUAGCAGGGUGUUUCCCAGGCAGUGGCAGAAACUGGUGUUGGAAGUAUAUAGACGCCCCCCCAAUAAAUGUCCGUCCCAGCCUCUGAAUUUUAUCUCUGGCUUUUGAAAAAGUUCCCUUGCUCCUCAUUCAAAGCCGUCCUGUUAAGGCUGUGCCACUUUCUCCUGUAUAAUGUAAAUGAAGUCUGUGCAGUAGUCAGGCUGAAACCCGAGUCCACCAUGUAAAUGAUUCUAUGCUAUUGACCUCCCUUCCUUAGAGGCAGCCAUCCUGGGGCUGUGGCAUUUCCCUACCUGUAGCCCCAGGGAAGGGAAACAGGAUUGUGAGUCUGACCAAAGCUCUGACAGGGAGAUGCCAGACAGUCCCUGCACUUAUUGGACAGGCAGGGGGCUCUCAAGGAAUGAUCCCGAGUGUACUAUGCUAAAGCUUGUGCAGAGAAAACUAGGAUCUAGAUGUAACUCCCCAAAGGCAUAAAGUAGGAGCACACUGUUAAGGUCACACUAAAAAUCCAGAGCUCUGAGGCGACUCUUGCUUAGUGGGAACACAAGAGGGAAAUCAAGGCAAGGUGCAGGCCACGGUGGUAAGGAGUGGUGAAACCCAGUAGACCUGGCAGAGGAGGUGAUUGACCACUGUCACCCAGGCUCCAAGGCGAGGGGACGCCCUCACAGAGAGAGAGGCUGACCAGGUGCUGGAUGUGAGGCCCCACACAGGGAGCACCCUGGCUGGCCUGUGGGGGCCGAGGCAGGUGCAGGCCCUGUAGGUCUUUGUGCCUAUGUGCUGAUGUCACCCCUGUGGUCCUGCCUGGUGGCCCUUCUCCAGAGAGCAUGAGUAGUCACAGGUAAAGGAGCCUCCUUUUGGGGACACCCCGGGCUGGUGUUGGUUAGUGGCCCUUUGCUUGCUGAGGUGGCAGGCCAGCUAGCUUGCUGGGAGACUGCUCCCCUCUCUGCUGUCAAGGUGUGGACAUGGUGUUUCAGUGCAUUUAGGCACUUAGAUGUGAGUGAGGUCUAUUUGAAAUGGAAUAGUAGCUUUUAGAGCUAUGUUUCUUUCUGUUUGUAUGAAAAAGGUACUGAGCCUAAGGAGUUGGGUGAAAGUGGCAGGAAUUCUAAGAAUAUUUAUGUCCUUGCAUUUCUGUUUAGGGAAAUGAUUCUGAAGUAAUUUUUUACUCAUGUAUGAAGGUGAUGAGUAAAGUCACAUUAAUCAUGUCGAGAUGAAGUGAUAAUGUAGCAGAAAUAAAGCCCCUACACCUUGGCCUGAUACACAGGAGACACACCAUUGGCGCUCUUUGCUCUCCUGUCCUGGUUCAUUACCUUAACUAACUUCAUGGUUCAGAGUGGUCCCAUCCACAUUUCAAGCAAAGUCUUUCUAAAACUGCAUAGAAACACUUGGCAGGAUAUCCCCAGAGGGUAGUGGAAAAAUUACUCUUUCUGAUCACUGUUUCUUUGCCAGUUGUUCUCUCUGCCCCGCGUUCCUUUCCUAUUUCUGCAUUUCCUGUGAUUGUAGACCGAGAGGGGCAGUGGUGCGCGUCUCCUCUAGACAGCCUUUGGGGCUGUUCAGGGGCCGUGUUUCUGUGGUGUUGGCAGUGCUCUUACCUUAAACAUAGCUUGUCCUCUGAAGUAUUCAUGCAGGGUUACUUCUCUUAUGCAAUCAAAAUUGUAGAAAAACCAUUAGCGUUUUCUGUUCUCAGUUGUAUUUCAGAUCUAACCCGAUUUCUUAGGCACGUUAUAUGUUCCUUUUGAAUUGUAAGCAUAAAGCAACAGAUCACUUUUUAUGUUCACCUACAUCAUUAGCAAUAAAUAAUUAGAUCAACGUGUAAGUUUUAUCAAAUU